AGCCACACUGGGACUGAGACACGGCCCAGACUCUACGGGAGGCAGCAGUGGGGAAUUUUCCGCAAUGGGCGCAAGCCUGACGGAGCAACGCCGCGUGUGGGAUGAAGGCCUGUGGGUUGUAAACCACUUUUCUCAGGGACGAACACAAUGACGGUACCUGAGGAAUCAGCCUCGGCUAACUCUGUGCCAGCAGCCGCGGUAAGACAGAGGAGGCAAGCGUUAUCCGGAAUUAUUGGGCGUAAAGCGUCCGUAGGUGGUCUAGCAAGUCUGGGGUUAAAGCCCGGAGCCCAACUCCGGAUCGGCCUUGGAAACUGCCAGACUCGAGUAAGGUAGGGGUUGCGGGAAUUCCCGGUGUAGCGGUAAAAUGCGUAGAUAUCGGGAAGAACACCAGCGGCGAAAGCGCGCAACUGGGCCAUUACUGACACUGAGGGACGAAAGCUAGGGGAGCGAAUGGGAUUAGAUACCCCAGUAGUCCUAGCCGUAAACGAUGGUGACUAGAUGUGGCUCGUAUUGACCCGAGCCGUGUCGUAGCUAACGCGAUAAGUCACCCGCCUGGGGAGUACGCACGCAAGUGCGAAACUCAAAGGAAUUGACGGGGGCCCGCACAAGCGGUGGAGCAUGUGGAUUAAUUCGAUGCAACGCGAAGAACCUUACCAGGACUUGACAUCCUGCGAACCCCGCUGAAAGGUGGGGGUGCCUUCGGGAGCGCAGAGACAGGUGGUGCAUGGCUGUCGUCAGCUCGUGUCGUGAGAUGUUGGGUUAAGUCCCGCAACGAGCGCAACCCGCGUCCUUAGUUGCCAGCAUUUAGUUGGGCACUCUGGGGAGACUGCCGGUGACAAGCCGGAGGAAGGUGCGGAUGACGUCAAGUCAGCAUGCCCCUUACCGCCCUGGGCGUCACACGUGCUACAAUGGCCAGCACAAAGG
Molecule: ribosomal RNA, 924 nt
Filed under: uncultured Cyanophyceae cyanobacterium
Lineage: Bacteria; Bacillati; Cyanobacteriota; Cyanophyceae
Description: bacterial SSU rRNA
Rfam family: Bacterial small subunit ribosomal RNA
Source: RNAcentral